AGUGAACGCUGGCGGUAGGCCUAACACAUGCAAGUCGAACGGCAGCACAGUAAGAGCUUGCUCUUACGGGUGGCGAGUGGCGGACGGGUGAGGAAUACAUCGGAAUCUACUUUUUCGUGGGGGAUAACGUAGGGAAACUUACGCUAAUACCGCAUACGACCUACGGGUGAAAGCAGGGGAUCUUCGGACCUUGCGCGAUUGAAUGAGCCGAUGUCGGAUUAGCUAGUUGGCGGGGUAAAGGCCCACCAAGGCGACGAUCCGUAGCUGGUCUGAGAGGAUGAUCAGCCACACUGGAACUGAGACACGGUCCAGACUCCUACGGGAGGCAGCAGUGGGGAAUAUUGGACAAUGGGCGCAAGCCUGAUCCAGCCAUACUGCGUGGGUGAAGAAGGCCUUCGGGUUGUAAAGCCCUUUUGUUGGGAAAGAAAAGCAGCAGGGUAAUACCCCGCUGUUCUGACGGUACCCAAAGAAUAAGCACCGGCUAACUUCGUG
Molecule: ribosomal RNA, 492 nt
Filed under: uncultured bacterium
Lineage: Bacteria
Description: partial 16S ribosomal RNA
Rfam family: Bacterial small subunit ribosomal RNA
Source: RNAcentral